GAUAAACGCUGGCGGCGUGCCUAAUACAUGCAAGUCGAGCGAACGGACGAGAAGCUUGCUUCUCUGAUGUUAGCGGCGGACAGGUGAGUAACACGUGGAUAACCUACCUAUAAGACUGGGAUAACUUCGGGAAACCGGAGCUAAUACCGGAUAAUAUUUUGAACCGCAUGGUUCAAAAGUGAAAGACGGUCUUGCUGUCACUUAUAGAUGGAUCCGCGCUGCAUUAGCUAGUUGGUAAGGUAACGGCUUACCAAGGCAACGAUGCAUAGCCGACCUGAGAGGGUGAUCGGCCACACUGGAACUGAGACACGGUCCGGACUCCUACGGGAGGCAGCAGUAGGGAAUCUUCCGCAAUGGGCGAAAGCCUGACGGAGCAACGCCGCGUGAGUGAUGAAGGUCUUCGGAUCGUAAAACUCUGUUAUUAGGGAAGAACAUAUGUGUAAGUAACUGUGCACAUCUUGACGGUACCUAAUCAGAAAGCCACGGCUAACUACGUGCCAGCAGCCGCGGUAAUACGUAGGUGGCAAGCGUUAUCCGGAAUUAUUGGGCGUAAAGCGCGCGUAGGCGGUUUUUUAAGUCUGAUGUGAAAGCCCACGGCUCAACCGUGGAGGGUCAUUGGAAACUGGAAAACUUGGGUGCAGAAGAGGAAAGUGGAAUUCCAUGUGUAGCGGUGAAAUGCGCAGAGAUAUGGAGGAACACCAGUGGCGAAGGCGACUUUCUGGUCCGUAACUGACGCUGAUGUGCGAAAGCGUGGGGAUCAAACAGGAUUAGAUACCCUGGUAGUCCACGCCGUAAACGAUGAGUGCUAAGUGUUAGGGGGUUUCCGCCCCUUAGUGCUGCAGCUAACGCAUUAAGCACUCCGCCUGGGGAGUACGACCGCAAGGUUGAAACUCAAAGGAAUUGACGGGGACCCGCACAAGCGGUGGAGCAUGUGGUUUAAUUCGAAGCAACGCGAAGAACCUUACCAAAUCUUGACAUCCUUUGACAACUCUAGAGAUAGAGCCUUCCCCUUCGGGGGACAAAGUGACAGGUGGUGCAUGGUUGUCGUCAGCUCGUGUCGUGAGAUGUUGGGUUAAGUCCCGCAACGAGCGCAACCCUUAAGCUUAGUUGCCAUCAUUAAGUUGGGCACUCUAAGUUGACUGCCGGUGACAAACCGGAGGAAGGUGGGGAUGACGUCAAAUCAUCAUGCCCCUUAUGAUUUGGGCUACACACGUGCUACAAUGGACAAUACAAAGGGCAGCGAAACCGCGAGGUCAAGCAAAUCCCAUAAAGUUGUUCUCAGUUCGGAUUGUAGUCUGCAACUCGACUACAUGAAGCUGGAAUCGCUAGUAAUCGUAGAUCAGCAUGCUACGGUGAAUACGUUCCCGGGUCU
RNAcentral lists this ribosomal RNA (1372 nucleotides) under uncultured bacterium. RNAcentral describes it as "bacterial SSU rRNA". It matches the Rfam family "Bacterial small subunit ribosomal RNA", at positions 28 to 1381 of the family's 1533-position model. The record is from RNAcentral.